AUCAUGGUCAGCUUGGGAUGGAAGAAGAUGACGACAUUUUUAAGACCGUUGCUGCAUUGCCUGAGAUGAUUUUCACAGCCCUGGCCUUUGAUAAAAGUGCAUAUACAUGUAGAUGCUUAACCAAUCAGUCACUAGGCUUGUGAAUAUGGAAUCCGGAUGCUCACAAGAGUUAGGACAAGAACUGUAUAAAAAAAAUGAAAUUGUGCAAGGGAAGUUUGAAGUGUCUGUUUGAAUGAUCAACAUCGAACUUGCUGAGCCUUCGUACUAAAAGUGAAUCUGUUGGUGAUGCCAAAUAUCUGUCAACCCUCUAUUGCAAAUUUCAUGGGAUAUCUGUGAGGAUGUGAUUCUAGCAACAUGUCAGAAGUUUUGUAUCUUCCAUAAUUGGGAUCUUUGGCAUGUACAUUGGUGGAAAAUAGCAACUGUUCAUUUUUGUGGGAUCUUUGUAUCAAUGUAGUUGUGUACUACAUAUAUUUUUGCAUUUAAUACAUGUGUUUGUCACUCUAGUCACUAAUUUUGUACAGUAAAUGUACAUGGGCCUCUGGCACUUUAUUGUAAAUGUAUAUCCUGUUGAGGUUUCAAUGACCUCUCCCAAUCCUUGGCCAAUGUCAUUUAAUGAAUCUAACCUCUUAUUUAAAAAAAAAUGCAUACUUUAGUUUACUGCAUUACAUGUAUAUCAUAACUUGAUUAUCAUUAAUUUA
Molecule: long non-coding RNA, 698 nt
Organism: Saccostrea cuccullata (small rock oyster)
Lineage: Eukaryota; Metazoa; Mollusca; Bivalvia; Ostreida; Ostreidae
Exons: 4
Source: RefSeq, a predicted model, not a curated record